RNAcentral lists this ribosomal RNA (433 nucleotides) under uncultured bacterium. RNAcentral describes it as "bacterial SSU rRNA". It matches the Rfam family "Bacterial small subunit ribosomal RNA", at positions 28 to 507 of the family's 1533-position model. The record is from RNAcentral.
GAUGAACGCUGGCGGCGUGCUUAACACAUGCAAGUCGAACGAACCUUCGGGUUAGUGGCGGACGGGUGAGUAACGCGUGAGAAUCUGCCCUCAGGAGGGGGACAACAGCUGGAAACGGCUGCUAAUACCCCAUAUGCCGCGAGGUGAAAUGAAUUUCGCCUGAGGAUGAGCUCGCGUCUGAUUAGCUAGUUGGUGUAGGUAAUGGCUCACCAAGGCAUCGAUCAGUAGCUGGUCUGAGAGGAUGAUCAGCCACACUGGGACUGAGACACGGCCCAGACUCCUACGGGAGGCAGCAGUGGGGAAUUUUCCGCAAUGGGCGAAAGCCUGACGGAGCAACGCCGCGUGAGGGAUGAAGGCCUCUGGGCUGUAAACCUCUUUUAUCAAGGAAGAAGAUCUGACGGUACUUAAAGGAUAAGCCACGGCUAAUUCCGUG